This 10730-nucleotide long non-coding RNA is filed under the name Malus domestica (apple). Its description in RNAcentral is "long non-coding RNA (MDOM_LNC020566)". The record is from RNAcentral. Lineage: Eukaryota; Viridiplantae; Streptophyta; Magnoliopsida; Rosales; Rosaceae.
AUGUUUUUUUCGUCAAAGUAGUCUUUUAAGCUACUUUCAUGUGUUUUCAGGGUUAAAGGACAUAUUACACGAAAUGAUGCAAUUUGGAGCUUUUGGAGCAAAAAGUGAGCUGGAAUGUGGUGUAUGCAAAUGGAGCACGAGGAAUGGACGAGUUUGAAGGUCAAAGAAGCUUAAGAAUGAAGAAAUGAAAGUGAUGAACUAAGAAUUCGGAAUUGGAAACCAAAGUUUCUAAAGUUGGAAGUUUCUAUUCUUGGAGGUUUCCAAUUUCGAGAGUUUCUAUUCUCGGCUUUGGGCUUUUGGAUGACCCAUCUUUGCCUCUUGGACCUAUGCCGCACCUAGGCCUUGUUCACAUGAAAAAAAUCUGAUUACUUACCCUAAGCCCAUGCCGCACCUAAUGUUCUAGAAACCCUAGUUUUUGGUGGAUUUCCUAACCCUAGCCGCACCUAAAACCCUAGCCCAUUUGUCUAACCUGAUUUCUUUAGGGUUUGGCUGCCUAUAUAUAUGUGUUUUUACCUCCCUUGGCCGAACACCACCCUCUCCAUAUUCAGAAAUUCGUCCAAAACCCUAUUUCCCAUCUUGCCGCACCUUUCCUUCAUUCCAGCCGAUUUCUACCACCAUUCUUCAUCUCCACACCUUCCACACAACACCCAUACACCAUCCCCAAGCCUUGCCGUGCCUUCCCACCACCAUCACCACCUUGUGCAGCCACCAUUGGAGGAGGAAGAAGUAGUGCCGUGCAUUCCAAAGGAGGAAGACACCUUGCACAUGCAAUCUGCCAUUAGUGGAGUGUUUGGAGUUCUUUCUUUCUUUGUUUCUGUUUUCAUGUUUAAUUUAAAUUGUUGUUCAAUUAUGUUAGACAUGUGGAACUAAUUUCUUUUUAGUUAGAGGUGAAUUUGAAGCCAUGGACAUAUGUUUUAUAUGAUUUGAUUUCUUCCAAUUAUGAUUUCAGAAAUUGUGAAUGUGAUUUACUUAUCUAUUUGAUUGAUAACUUGUUUAUGUAUGUGGGUUGAGGGUCGACACUUAAUUUGCAUGCCUAAACUUGAUGCUAGGAUAUAAGGGAAUUUCACCUAAUCGCUAUUAACUUGUAUUCAUAAGUAGUGAAAGUCGCUAGUCACGAUUGUGUUAAGUAAAUCCUAGGCAAGAAUAACAUGUGUAUCCCAUAGUUAUGAAUGCCUCGUCAAUGCUUAUGAUUUCCAUUAAACUUAAUGAUCUUUGAUAUGUGUCUCUAUCAUGCGUAUUCCAUAGUUAGGGUCCUUGAUAAGAAUAAUUUGGUUGUAAUGCGUAUUCCAUUCAAUUCAAUGAAUCUAGGGAAAUCUGAGAAUUAAUUGGUGCAAUCUAGUUAAUUUGGGGCAUUGUCAUUCAUGGUUUGUUGAAAGAGUAAUUGGACAUCGAGUUGUAUGCAUAUGUUCAUGUGUGGAUAAGGAACCCUCUAACUAGCUUCUCACCAUUCUAUUUAAUCACAAUAUGUGCUGCUUUACAUUUGUUUUUAAAGUCUGAGUUUUAAAGUUUUAAUUUCGUCAAAAUCAUUCCCCCAUUUAUUUUAAAGUGUUAGAUUAGUUAGAAAUCCAUUUAGUUGUGUUUUUAAGUGUUUUGAGUCAAGUUAUAGUCCAAAUUCGUCCAAACUAGUGUUAGGUACUCAAAACUGCCCAGAAAGUGGUUUUAAGGCAGUUUUGAGCCUUUUAGUUGCUGUUUUGAGUUUUUAGUUUGUUUAGGUGUUUUAAACCCUAGUUUUGCAUUAAUUGAGUCUAGUUUAGUGUUCUACAUUAUAUUUUUAUGUUCUUGAGUCAGUUUUACAUUGAUUAGCAUCCCUAGUUAAUCCCCGGUUAGAACGAUCCCCUAUUUGCUCAUAUACUACAAUUGUCAUCCAUAGGGUUUAAUUUGUGUGUCAACAUAAUUUUCACAUCAAAUUUUGGCGCCGUUGCCGGGGAUUAGCAAAAUUGCUAAUCCCUUGUGUUUUUUUUGCCGUGUGUUUUAGUAUAAUUUACCUAGUUUGCUUAUUUUGUUUUGUUUUCUUGGUUUAGGUACUAGUGCAUGACGCGGAGCUCUCAAACCGUGCACGCACACAUAUUGGAUUUCAACGACGAUUUUGAACGUGAUUUGAGAAGAAAGAGGAGGCAUCCCGAACCUAGUGAACCUAGUUCAAGUUCAGAGGCCGAAUCUGAGUUUGAAGAAGUGGAAGAAGAAGUUAUGGCAGUGGACAAUCGGACCAUUAAAGAGCUUUCGGCCUCGGGGUUGACAAAUGCCGCACCAUUAUGCAUUCAAUACCCCGCGGCUGCCCAAGGCAAGACCGAUGAAUUCGAGUUGAAGUCAAGCUUGUUGCACCACAUUCCGAAAUACCAUGGGCUUUCCAUGGAAGAUCCCAACAAGCAUCUCAAGGAGUUCGAGGUUGUUUGUUCGAGCAUGACACCCAUCAAUGUUGACGGGAGUAUUUUGAUGAUGAAGGCUUUUCCAUUCUCACUUUUGGAAAAGGCGAAAGAUUGGCUUUACGAGUUAGCACCCGGAACGGUUACAUCUUGGGAUAGUAUGAAAAGAGCGUUCUUGGAGAAGUUUUUCCCAACGUCAAGAGUCAUUCUCUUGAGGAAACGGAUUAGUGGCAUCCAACAAAACCCAGGUGAAUCGUUUCCUUCUUAUUAUGAACGUUUUAAAUCACUUGUUGCUUCUUGUCCACAGCAUCAAAUGAAGGAGGAGCUACUCAUUCAAUACUUCUACGAAGGACUCCUCCCCAUGGAACGCCAAAUGCUUGAUGCCUCGGCGGGAGGAGCGUUGGUGGAUAAGACUCCGGGGGCUGCAAAAGUUCUAAUUGCCAAUCGAGCACAUAAUGCACAACAAUACGAAGGUGUUGGACAAAGGGACCCCCCACGGCCACAAGUGAAUGAGGUAAGUUCUAUGCCCGAGAUUCAAUCCCAAUUAGCUAACCUUACUUCUAUUGUUCUCAGUUAGCCGAGGGAAUGAAGAUUCAUGGACCAAGUGUGUGUGGCGUGUGCUCGGUGCAAGGACAUGCCAAUGAUCAAUGCCCUCAAUUGAUUGAGAAUGGGGGUUGGGAAGCUGCCAAUGUCGUUGGUUUUGGGAACCAAAAUCAACCACGCCAUGAUCCAUACUCUAAUUCCUACAAUCCGGGGUGGAGAGACCAUCCAAAUUUCAAAUGGCGGGAUCCUCAACAACCCCAACAACAAGGAGGAUUUAGGCAGCAACCACCGGGCUUUUAUACAAAGCCAUUCGUCCCCAAUCAAAACCAAGUGCAAUCUGCCCCACCAACCUCAGGUACGUCUUUGGAUAAUGAUCAAGUUGUUAAGUUACUUACUACUUUGACGCAGGAAGUACAAACUCAAAAUAAGGAGAGACAAAUCCAAGACAAACGGGUGGAUAAUUUGGAGAAGCAAAUGGGUCAAAUUGCCGAAUUCAUGGGGCAAAUUAGAGAACAAGGCAGAUUGCCUAGUUCAACCGUUGUGAACCCGAAGGGAGGAUUUGAAACCGCUAAGGCCAUCAUGUUGAGAAGUGGUAAACAGGUUGGAACGGACUCAAAUACAUCCAAAUCGAGUCAAGAAGAGGAGGACAGGUUGCUGCAAGAAGAAGCACAGGGAGCAAAGCCCACGGCCAAGGAUGACCAAACCUUGCCGCCACCCUCUAACCCUCCUAAAUCGUCCUCAACCACCAAGGUAAGUCCAAAUUCAACUUUUUCUAGUUCUAUUCCACUGAAUGUGCCCUUUCCUGGCAGGUUUAGGCAAUCAAAGAAGGAAGAACCCGAGAAGGACAUUCUAGAGACCUUUCGGAAAGUUCAAGUCAAUAUCCCGCUCCUUGAUGCGAUUAAGCAAGUCCCGAGGUAUGCUAAGUUCUUAAAAGAACUUUGUACAACAAGGAGAAGGAUUUCGAACAAAGAGGUGGUCCAAGUAAGUGAAAACGUCUCUGCUGUGUUACAAAGGAAAUUACCCCCUAAAUGCAAAGAUCCGGGUAGUUUUACAAUUCCAUGCGUUAUUGGUAAUACUAAGUUUGAACAAUGCAUGUUAGACUUAGGGGCUUCGAUUAAUGUUAUGCCAUACUCAAUUUAUGCAUCUAUGAACUUAGGUGAGCUUAAAAAUGAUGGUGUGAUAAUUCAAUUAGCCGAUCGUUCUAAUGCAUACCCAAAGGGUGUUUUUUUGGAAGAUGUUUUGGUGCAGGUUGGUAAUUUGAUUUUUUCCAGCGGACUUUUACGUGCUUGACAUGGAGGAUUCACCCCAUUCUACCCCAUUGCCGAUUCUAUUAGGGAGGCCCUUCAUGAAAACAGCCCGCACCAAGAUAGAUGUGUUUAAAGGAACUUUAACGAUGGAAUUUGAUGGGGAAGUCAUUGAUUUUAAUCUUUCUGAAAGUAUUAAAUUUCCUAAGGACGAUCAUUCUUGCUUUUCUAUUGAUAUAAUUGAUGAUUUGGCGCAGGAUUUUCUCGAUUGUUUGGAGAGGGAUACACUUGAAACAACAAUUGCACAAGGAAUUGGGCACAAAAAUGGUGUUGCCGUGCCUAGAAGUGAGGAUGAGGCCGAGAUAGUGGCUGCCCUUGAGUCACUCCCUCAACACCAUGGUAAGCCUUCUAACCCAAUUUCAAUUCCAGUUUCCACUAAUAAGAUGUUACCCUCAGUGAUUCAGGCACCCGUACUUGAGCUUAAACCGUUACCCGAUCAUUUAAAGUACGUUUUUCUGGGAGACAACGAGACAUUGCCCGUCAUUGUCUCUUCAUCACUCACGGCCAUAGAGGAGGAGAAGUUGAUCCGAGUGUUGAAAGAGCACAAGACGGCCAUUGGGUGGACUUUGGCCGAUAUUAGGGGAAUUAGCCCAACUACGUGCAUGCAUCGCAUACUUCUAGAGGAUGGGGCUAAACCAACUCGAGAGGCUUAGCGCCGUCUCAACCCUCCAAUGAUGGAAGUUGUGAAAAAGGAGAUUAUCAAACUUCUUGAUUGUGGAGUGAUUUAUCCGAUCUCUGAUAGUCGUUGGGUGUCACCGGUGCGAUGUGUUCCAAAGAAGUCCGGAGUGACCGUGGUGAAGAAUGCCGAGAAUGAGCUUGUGCCAACCCGUAUCCAAACAGGUUGGCGAGUGUGCAUUGAUUAUAGGAAGCUCAACGCCACCACAAGGAAGGACCACGUCCCUUUGCCGUUCAUUGAUCAAAUGCUUGAAAGGUUAGCCGGUCAUUCUUUUUAUUGUUUCCUUGGUGGUUAUUCUGGAUAUAAUCAGAUUGUCAUAGCGCCGGAUGACCAAGAAAAGACAACUUUCACAUGCCCCUUUGGUACUUUUGCUUAUCGUCGCAUGCCUUUUGGUUUAUGCAAUGCUCCGGCCACAUUUCAAAAGUGUAUGGUAAGUAUCUUUUCAGAUUUUGUGGAAAAGAUUAUUGAGGUAUUUAUGGAUGAUUUCAGUGUGUUUGGUGAUUCAUUUGAUGGAUGUUUGGAAAAUCUCACAAUAAUUUUGAAAACGAUGUGUAGAAACUAACCUAGUGCUUAAUUGGGAAAAAAUGUCACUUUAUGGUUAGACAAGGCAUAGUUCUAGGGCAUAUUGUUUCAGAAAGAGGAAUUGAAGUGGAUAAAUCGAAAAUAGAUCUUGUACGCUAUUUACCCUCUCCUACUUCGGUUCGAGAGGUUCGUUCGUUUCUUGGUCAUGCAGGAUUUUAUAGGCGAUUUAUCAAGGACUUCUCCAAGAUCUCAAACCCUCUUUGCCGUCUCCUCCAGAAAGAUGUGGCGUUUGACUUCAACAAGGAGUGUGAGAAGGCGUUCAAUCACCUAAAGGACAUGCUAACUUCGGCCCCUAUCAUAGUUCCACCGGAUUGGAGCCUUCCUUUUAAGCUUAUGUGCGACGCUUCCGAUUAUGCAUUAGGAGCUGUUUUGGGGCAAAGGAAGGACAAGAGGCCGCAUGCUAUCUAUUAUGCCUCUCGGACUUUAAAUGAUGCACAAUUGAAUUAUUCCACCACUGAAAAAGAACUUCUAGCUGUUGUAUUUGCUUUAGAUAAAUUCCGUUCUUAUUUGCUUGGUACUAAAGUUAUUAUUUAUACUGACCAUGCAGCAUUGAAGUAUUUGUUCACCAAGAAGGAGGCCAAACCACGACUCAUUCGUUGGAUGCUUCUUCUCCAAGAGUUCGAUAUCGAAAUCCGGGACAAGAAGGGAAGUGAAAACGUGGUGGCUGACCACUUGAGCCGUAUGGUGCAUGAGGAGGAUGCCGUGCCUAUCAUAGAGACAUUCCCAGAUGAGCAACUGAUGUCCAUCAAGGUAAGUGAACCAUGGUAUGCUGAUUUGGUGAAUUAUUUGGUGUCUAAACAUGUUCCUAGUGAAUUACUUAAACACCAAGGUGAUAAAUUGAAGAAAGAGGCACGGUUUUAUGUGUGGGAUGACCCGUAUUUAUGGAAAUAUUGCCCUGACCAAGUUAUACGUAGGUGUGUGCACGAUUCUGAGUUUAAUGCUAUUCUAACAUUUUGUCACACUUAUGCUUGUGGGGGACACUUUGGCACUAAUAGAACAGCACUUAAGGUAUUAGAAUGUGGUUUCUAUUGGCCUACCAUCUUUAGGGAUGCUAGAACAUUUUGCAUGUCUUGUGAUAGAUGCCAAAGAACGGGCAAUAUAGGUCCUAAACAACAAAUGCCGCAAACCCCCAUUUUUAGUGUUGAAAUAUUUGAUGUUUGGGGUAUUGAUUUUAUGGGUCCCUUUCCUUCGUCACAUGGAUUUCUUUAUAUAUUACUUGCUGUGGAUUAUGUGUCGAAGUGGGUGGAAGCAAAAGCCACCCGAACUAAUGAUUCUCGAGUGGUUGCAGAUUUUGUGAAAACUAACAUUUUUGCAAGGUUCGGAAUGCCACGAGUGCUCAUUAGUGAUGGAGGUUCCCAUUUUUGUAAUCGAACCAUCGAGGCGUUGCUCAAGAAAUACAAUGUCACGCAUAAGGUGGCCACACCUUAUCAUCCUCAAACGAGCGGGCAAGCCGAGGUUUCGAAUAGGGAAAUCAAGCAAAUUCUUGAGAAGACCGUGGGGCCUACGAGGAAGGAUUGGAGUUUGCGCUUAAACGAUGCAUUGUGGGCGUAUCGCACUACUUACAAAACCCCCAUUGGGAUGUCACAUUUUCGGCUCAUCUAUGGGAAGCCAUGCCAUCUUCCCGUCGAGUUAGAGCAUCGUGCACACUGGGCCGUCAAAACGUUUAACAUGGACCUUGAUGCCGCAGGUUUACAUAGGAAGCUCCAAUUGUGUGAACUUGAGGAAAUCCGAAAUGAAGCAUAUGAGAAUGCCCGGAUUUACAAGGAGAAAACGAAGGCAUUCCAUGACAAGAUGAUUCGUGCCAAGACGUUCUCUAUUGGGCAGAAAGUGUUGUUGUUCAAUUCUCGCCUUCGGUUGUUUCCGGGUAAGUUGCGUUCCAAAUGGGUUGGUCCUUUUAUUGUAACUAAUGUUUUCCCUCAUGGUGCAGUGCAAAUCAAGAGUGCAAGGACGCAACAAGAAUUCAAAGUGAAUGGGCAUCGAUUGAAGCCCUAUUACGAGAUGUUUGAGGAGCAUGUCGUGGAGGAGGUACCCCUCCAUGCCGUGGCACAUAGUCAAGCUUAAACGGAGGUACCGUCCGGCUGGAAGACGUUAAAGCAAGCGCUUCGUGGGAGGCAACCCAUGCAUUUGACAAAGGAAGACCUAGAGAGCACUCCAAUUCCAGAUUUGCGUUUCUAAACCCUUCUCUUUGUUGUUUCUUUCGUUUCUGCCAUGUUUAGUUUGUUAGUAUUGGUUUGUUUGUUUAUGUGUUUUUGUGUGAGUCUAUGCUUGAAACAUUGAGGACAAUGUUUGGUUUAAGUGUGGGGGGGGUAACCAAAGUGUUUUGAUGCAAAUUCGUAGGGUUUUCUCACUCAUAAUUUCCAAUGUUGUUUCUUGCUGUUUUUAGGUGUUUUUAGGCUGUUUUGGUGUGUUUUAAUGUGUUUUGAUUCAAAAAUCCGAAAAUCCCAUAAAAAUUUGAAAAUUUGUUUUAAAAAAAACCCAAAAAGAGUCGUUUUUAAGUUAUUUUUGUGUGUUUGUUUGUGUCUUAGGGUACCUUCCAACACAAUGAUGAGGAUUUGGUUUUUAAUUGCAUGACUAUUGAAGAGAGUUAUAAACAUGGAUGGAAGUUUGAUUUACUCUUGGUUUAUGCUUAGUUGUAGUUAUAACUUAUGAAUUCACAUGUAAUCAAAAAGAAAAAAAUCAGUUUUUGUGACAUGCUUGAAGGAAGAAACUCAAACUAAAGCUACAACCCUGAGAGACUUGAGCCUAAACUUUAUUUGGAGAGUUGAAAUCUGUGCAUUCUUGUUUUCUAAAGUCGUUGCAUGAUCUCAUUAUUCUUUGCUUGGUUACUACUUAGAAGGUGUUUCAUCAUUUAGUUCCAAAUGCUAGAACUCAUGCCAAUUUCAUUCAAAACAUUUCAUUGAAUUGCAUAACACAUAUUCGAGAAGAAGUUGUUUAGUAGUUGCCACCAUAUCCAAAAAGCCUUCAUUCCAUACAUUGUUUUUGUAGGUUUAACCCCGUUGAGCCUUAUUUAGCCUAUAUUGUUUGUUAACCCACAUUAUCCUUACCUAGCCUAGAUUAGGACCAUCCAUACCCUUGUUCUUGAAGCAUAGUAAGCAUGACUUAAAAUGAAUUCCUUUUGAUUGAGGGUGUGCAGAGAACAAGUGUGGGGGAGUGAUUUUUGAUAGGUGGAUGUGCCAAAGUCUCUUUUGAGGCACGAGAAAAAAAAAAUAAGAAAAAAAAAGAAAAAAAAAAGAAAGAAAAUUCGUAGAAAAAAAAAAGAGAAAAAAAAAGAAAAAUGUUGAGAAAAGUGUGAAAAAGAGUUGAAAGAGCAUGGAAAUGAGCUCUAAGGUGUUGGUUGUUGAAGAGGGGGUCCAAAACAUUGAAUUUGACCCCAAGUGUUGCAUGAAUUUCCCCUUUGAGUUAAAAGUUGAUUUUUGCAUUCAAAAGUGAAUUCUAAGUGUCAAUUUCAUUGCUUUGCUUACUAUUGUUUAAGAACGUUUGUUUAUCCUUCACCUUUCUUUGUUAACCAAUACCCCAAGCCCCGUUACAACCCUUAACUUCUAUCUUGAGUGUUGUGUAUUUCAAUUUAUGGAGUUUGGGAUUGGUAUGAGCAUAUGGUGUCACUGGUUCUCGCAUCUAAGUAGUAGCAUUCCUUUCAUGAGAUCAUAUACAUGCUUAUUAAAUUCAGAAAAAGCUUUCCUUGUUAUAACAUAUGUGAGCAUUCGUUUUCAUAUUUACAUCAAUCUUCUCACAUAUAACUAGUAUAGGGUGUGUAGUCAGAAAAUCUAUGUGAAAAUUGAGUGCAUAUCUAGUAAGGAAUUGAGCAAAUUCUCUAAGGCAUGUUACUACAUUCAAAAUCAUGUUUUAAUUGGUUAAAUGUGAACUAGUACGUGGUGGCUUUAAUUAAGUAUAUGCUUGUGUAAAGAUGACUAAAAUCUGUGGGGAUAACAAUCUUUAACAUGUCAUGUGCAUUGGAAAUCCCUGAGGCAAACGUUGGAAGGUUUAGGUUGUGUUUUGGUUAGUUUGUUUCGUUUUGUUUUCCUUCUUUUGUUUGUUUUGCUCGAGGACUAGCAAAAGCUAAGUGUGGGGGAAUUUGAUAGGAGCAUAUUUAUGCGCCUUAGUUAGCUAGUUCUUAUGCAUUUUUGUUAUGUUUUCUUCGUCAAAGUAGUCUUUUAAGCUACUUUCAUGUGUUUUCAGGGUUAAAGGACAUAUUACACGAAAUGAUGCAAUUUGGAGCUUUUGGAGCAAAAAGUGAGCUGGAAUGUGGUGUAUGCAAAUGGAGCACGAGGAAUGGAUGAGUUUGAAGGUCAAAGAAGCUUAAGAAUGAAGAAAUGAAAGUGAUGAACUAAGAAUUCGGAAUUGGAAACCAAAGUUUCUAAAGUUGGAAGUUUCUAUUCUUGGAGGUUUCCAAUUUCGAGAGUUUCUAUUCUCGGCUUUGGGCUUUUGGAUGACCCAUCUUUGCCUCUUGGACCUAUGCUGCACCUAACCCUAACCCUAGCCCACUUAAUCAGCCGCACCUAGGCCUUGUUCACAUGAAAAAAAUCUGAUUACUUACCCUAAGCCCAUGCCGCACCUAAUGUUCUAGAAACCCUAGUUUUUGGUGGAUUUCCUAACCCUAGCCGCACCUAAACCCUAGCCCAUUUGUCUAACCUGAUUUCUUUAGGGUUUGGCUGCCUAUAUAUAUGUGUUUUACCUCCCUUGGCCGAACACCACCCUCUCCAUAUUCAGAAAUUCGUCCAAAACCCUAUUUCCCAUCUUGCCGCACCUUUCCUUCAUUCCAGCCGAUUUCUACCACCAUUCUUCAUCUCCACACCUUCCACACAACACCCAUACACCAUCCCCAAGCCUUGCCGUGCCUUCCCACCACCAUCACCACCUUGUGCAGCCACCAUUGGAGGAGGAAGAAGUAGUGCCGUGCAUUCCAAAGGAGGAAGACACCUUGCACAUGCAAUCUGCCAUUAGUGGAGUGUUUGGAGUUCUUUCUUUCUUUGUUUCUGUUUUCAUGUUUAAUUUAAAUUGUUGUUCAAUUAUGUUAGACAUGUGGAACUAAUUUCUUUUUAGUUAGAGGUGAAUUUGAAGCCAUGGACAUAUGUUUUAUAUGAUUUGAUUUCUUCCAAUUAUGAUUUCAGAAAUUGUGAAUGUGAUUUACUUAUCUAUUUGAUUGAUAACUUGUUUAUGUAUGUGGGUUGAGGGUCGACACUUAAUUUGCAUGCCUAAACUUGAUGCUAGGAUAUAAGGGAAUUUCACCUAAUCGCUAUUAACUUGUAUUCAUAAGUAGUGAAA